CUACGUGCCAGCAGCCGCGGUAAUACGGAGGGUGCAAGCGUUAAUCGGAAUUACUGGGCGUAAAGCGCACGCAGGCGGUUGAUUGAGUCAGAUGUGAAAUCCCCGGGCUUAACCCGGGAAUUGCAUCUGAUACUGGUCAGCUAGAGUCUUGUAGAGGGGGGUAGAAUUCCAUGUGUAGCGGUGAAAUGCGUAGAGAUGUGGAGGAAUACCGAUGGCGAAGGCAGCCAUCUGGCCUAACACUGACGCUGAGGUGCGAAAGCAUGGGGAGCAAACAGGAUUAGAUACCCUGGUAGUCCAUGCCGUAAACGAUGUCUACUAGCCGUUGGGGCCUUUGAGGCUUUAGUGGCGCAGCUAACGCGAUAAGUAGACCGCCUGGGGAGUACGGUCGCAAGACUAAAACUCAAAUGAAUUGACGGGGGCCCGCACAAGCGGUGGAGCAUGUGGUUUAAUUCGAUGCAACGCGAAGAACCUUACCUGG
Molecule: ribosomal RNA, 478 nt
Filed under: uncultured bacterium
Lineage: Bacteria
Description: bacterial SSU rRNA
Rfam family: Bacterial small subunit ribosomal RNA
Source: RNAcentral